This 373-nucleotide ribosomal RNA is filed under the name uncultured bacterium. RNAcentral's name for it is "bacterial SSU rRNA". It matches the Rfam family "Bacterial small subunit ribosomal RNA", at positions 527 to 896 of the family's 1533-position model. The record is from RNAcentral.
GUAGGGAGCGAGCGUUGUCCGGAUUUAUUGGGCGUAAAGAGCUUGUAGGCGGUUCGGUAAGUCGGGUGUGAAAACUCUGGGCUCAACCCAGAGACGCCACCCGAUACUGCUGUGACUUGAGUCUGGUAGGGGAGCACGGAAUUCCUGGUGUAGCGGUGAAAUGCACAGAUAUCAGGAGGAACACCGGUGGCGAAGGCGGUGCUCUGGGCCGGUACUGACGCUGAGGAGCGAAAGCGUGGGUAGCAAACAGGAUUAGAUACCCUGGUAGUCCACGCCGUAAACGUUGGGCACUAGGUGUGGGCCCUAACCAACGGGGUCCGUGCCGCAGCUAACGCAUUAAGUGCCCCGCCUGGGGAGUACGGCCGCAAGGSKA